UCAUUACCGAGUGCGGGCCCUCGCGGCCCAACCUCCCACCCUUGUCUAUACACCUGUUGCUUUGGCGGGCCCACCGGGGCCACCUGGUCGCCGGGGGACGUCGUCCCCGGGCCCGCGCCCGCCGAAGCGCUCUGUGAACCCUGAUGAAGAUGGGCUGUCUGAGUACUAUGAAAAUUGUCAAAACUUUCAACAAUGGAUCUCUUGGUUCCGGCAUCGAUGAAGAACGCAGCGAAAUGCGAUAAGUAAUGUGAAUUGCAGAAUUCCGUGAAUCAUCGAAUCUUUGAACGCACAUUGCGCCCCCUGGCAUUCCGGGGGGCAUGCCUGUCCGAGCGUCAUUUCUGCCCUCAAGCACGGCUUGUGUGUUGGGUGUGGUCCCCCCGGGGACCUGCCCGAAAGGCAGCGGCGACGUCCGUCUGGUCCUCGAGCGUAUGGGGCUUUGUCACUCGCUCGGGAAGGACCUGCGGGGGUUGGUCACCACCAUAUUUUACCACGGUUGACCUCGGAUCAGGUAGGAGUUACCCGCUGAACUUAAGCAUAUCAAUAAGCCGGGAGGAG
Molecule: ribosomal RNA, 555 nt
Filed under: Penicillium sp. 22-M-5
Lineage: Eukaryota; Fungi; Ascomycota; Eurotiomycetes; Eurotiales; Aspergillaceae
Description: eukaryotic LSU rRNA
Rfam family: 5.8S ribosomal RNA (bases 182-335)
Source: RNAcentral